This 2093-nucleotide long non-coding RNA is filed under the name Musa acuminata (dwarf banana). Its description in RNAcentral is "long non-coding RNA (MACU_LNC006993)". The record is from RNAcentral. Lineage: Eukaryota; Viridiplantae; Streptophyta; Magnoliopsida; Zingiberales; Musaceae.
UAAGAAGACGAUCAAUAAAGGAGAUCCAACGGACUCACACUGCUUAUAAUUUAUUCUCGAGAAGUUUUUGGUCGCAAACAUAUAAAGCACUAUAAGAUGGUUUCCAAGUCUUUGCACACGUCUCACACAAUCGCAGGUUCAUAGUAGUAACUAGAAAUUCACCAUGUCAUCGUGGGGCUGUUCACUCUCAAACCUUUUUGCACUGUAUGAAUUUAUUAGGGCAGCGGACGCAUCAACGCUUGAGGUUUGUAUCUUUGACAACAGUAACAGGGCAUGGUGCAUGUGACAGAACAUAGCUCGAUACACUGCCCAGUAAAAUCCUGCAGAAACAUUAAAGAAGAAACACGUGAGAUAAAGAGGUAAAUACUAGUGAGAUUAAUAUGUUGCUGUGGUUGAAGUUUAACUUUCAACAGAUAUGUGGAGUAAAUUUAUGCAUCAAAGCUGCAUAUAACAUUCUCAGGUUUGUUGAAAGAAAAAAAAAUGUUGCUUAACAGUAUCAACCAAAAAUUUCAGCCCCUUUAUAAUUAGCUAAGAACAUGAUGUUUCAAUUAUUUGGAGUCGAUCUUUUAUCAUCGACUCCAUAAAAGAUAUAUUUUAAGUGAAUUAAGAGCAUUAAAGAUUUUUAUUUAUACCCUCCAGUAAAAUGUUCACGUCUCUUCUACCUUCUUGUAUCAUGUAUACUAAUUCUCUUAGCACAUUUUCAUAUCAUUUACGUAAUUCUUUCUCAUUUUAUUCCUUAAACAUAGCAUCUUAAACAUCCAUAGGUCUUUCUCAUUUUUGCACAAAUUCAUAACUUCUACAAUGACUCGUUAGUUUCUAUCUUCUUCUAAUUUUAGACAUAUCCACUUCAACAUUCUAAUUUCAUAGACAAAUAUUUUAUAUAUGUUAACUAUUUAACUACCUACCGUUCAGAUUUUUAAAGCAUCAUUGACCUACAAGAUAACCACUAAGCAUUCAAUAUGAACUGAAGAUAAGAAGAACCAAGUAAAUAACAUCACAAAUGGUGUCAGAGCAAACAUCCAGUGUGUAGUACAUAAGAGCCUUGUGAAGCCAGUGUAUAUAUGAACCUCUCUACUCUUUCAUUUUGACACAUUUAUAACUGAUCCAAGGUUUACUCUUCCAAAUUGUACCUUGACAAAUGUGUCUCAGAUAGGUGUUUCAGACCAAAGGUGUAUCUUAUUAGUUGCAACCACUUCUAGGCAUGACCUUUAAUAGCAAUUAGCCUUUUGAUUCCCUUCAAUGGCACGGAGUUUAAUCACAAUAAUGAGGCGUAUAGAGCCUUUCCCACGGCCCUAUCAUUAAUUAUCACCAUUAUUUAUUUUCUUAUCUUCUUAUUGUUUCAUCAUACUAACUCAUGAUCAGGCUAAUUUGGAAAAUAAAAAUGGGAUGCAAGCGAGAAUGAUAUAUCAUCCUAGUUUGGCAAAUGCAUUAGGGUUUCUGUUAGAGAAAACAAAUAAAACAAAUCCAAGCCUAAAUAUGAAAACAACACCAUACAAAAUUUUUUGUAGGAUACAGCUUGGUUCAACAUGGAGCCUCACAAGCUUUGAGCAACAUCACUGAACUCAUAUGCCAUUUUGCAGAGACUGAGGCUGCAAAUUAACAUAUUCAGUGGAUAAGUUUAAGUUCCAUACUUACUAGUAAACAGUUCCCACUCAGUUUUCCGUUUCUUGGAAUCAAAUAAGGAAACCAUUUCAAUUUAUUUCUAAGCUUUAGGAAAAUUGGACAUUUUUCUAAUCCAACUCAUAACAUGAUUUCCAUGAUUAUUAGGAAAUGCUUAGCUAAACGAUCUAGACUCAUAAAUGCAUCCCUCAUCUUCUAUAGACAAAAUCAUCUGCAAUUAUAACUAUCAAAGGGGAAAUAAAUCAUUGCAAAAGUAUGUCAGAUACAAAAUGACAAAAAGCUAGUAACAAAAUCAUAAUGCUCCAUAUGGAUCGGCCUAAAUAGGUGUUAACCCCAAAAUUACUACAAUUAAUUAACUACUUAAAAGAAUAUUGAAGAUAAUCUCAGAAAUCCCUUAUGCACAGUGCACAUCCUCGAUUUUGACCUUCAGACAGAUUUGAGUCACCUCAAUAGUAUAGGGGGGGGGGGGGGGG